GACUGGUAUGAAUGGUGUGGUGUUAACAACUAAUUGAUCACAACCAAUUACAGAUUUCUUUGUUCCUUCUCCUACCCACUAUUUCCCCUGACUAGACUUUA
Molecule: Y RNA, 101 nt
Organism: Callithrix jacchus (white-tufted-ear marmoset)
Lineage: Eukaryota; Metazoa; Chordata; Mammalia; Primates; Cebidae
Rfam family: Y RNA
About the family: Y RNAs are components of the Ro ribonucleoprotein particle (Ro RNP), in association with Ro60 and La proteins. The Y RNAs and Ro60 and La proteins are well conserved, but the function of the Ro RNP is not known. In humans the RNA component can be one of four small RNAs -- hY1, hY3, hY4 and hY5.
Source: Ensembl